GGAUGAACGCUAGCGGCAGGCUUAAUACAUGCAAGUCGAACGGUAACAGGUGUAGCAAUACAUGCUGACGAGUGGCGCACGGGUGCGUAACACGUAUGCAACCUACCUAUAACUGGAACAUAACUUCGAGAAAUCGGUGCUAAUAUUCCAUAACAUUGCGAAAAGGCAUCUUUUUGCAAUUAAAGUUUUAAUGGUUAUAGAUGGGCAUGCGCGACAUUAGCUAGUUGGUAAGGUAACGGCUUACCAAGGCUACGAUGUCUAGGGGUUCUGAGAGGAUUAUCCCCCACACUGGUACUGAGACACGGACCAGACUCCUACGGGAGGCAGCAGUAAGGAAUAUUGGGCAAUGGACGCAAGUCUGACCCAGCCAUGCCGCGUGCAGGAUGAAUGCCCUAUGGGUUGUAAACUGCUUUUGUACGGGAAAAAACCCUUGAUCGUGUAUCAGGGCUGAUGGUACCGUAAGAAUAAGGAUCGGCUAACUCCGUGCCAGCAGCCGCGGUAAUACGGAGGAUCCAAGCGUUAUCCGGAUUUAUUGGGUUUAAAGGGUGCGUAGGCGGAAUGAUAAGUCAGAGGUGAAAGCCCACAGCUUAACUGUGGAACUGCCUUUGAUACUGUCAAUCUUGAGUACAUUUGAAGUGGGCGGAAUGUGUUGUGUAGCGGUGAAAUGCUUAGAUAUAACACAGAACACCGAUUGCGAAGGCAGCUCACUAAGCUGUAACUGACGCUGAGGCACGAAAGCGUGGGGAUCAAACAGGAUUAGAUACCCUGGUAGUCCACGCCGUAAACGAUGAUUACUCGAUGUGUGCGAUAUACUGUACGCGUCUGAACGAAAGUAUUAAGUAAUCCACCUGGGGAGUACGACCGCAAGGUUGAAACUCAAAGGAAUUGACGGGGGCCCGCACAAGCGGAGGAGCAUGUGGUUUAAUUCGAUGAUACGCGAGGAACCUUACCUAGGCUUAAAUGUAGAUUGACAGGGGCUGAAAGGUCUUUUCUCUUCGGAGCAGUUUACAAGGUGCUGCAUGGCUGUCGUCAGCUCGUGCCGUGAGGUGUUGGGUUAAGUCCCGUAACGAGCGCAACCCCUAUCAUUAGUUGCCAUCAGGUAAUGCUGGGAACUCUAAUGAAACUGCCUACGCAAGUAGUGAGGAAGGUGGGGAUGACGUCAAGUCAGCACGGCCCUUACGCCUAGGGCUACACACGUGCUACAAUGGCAGGUACAGAGGGCAGCUACCCCGCGAGGGGAUGCAAAUCUCUAAAGCCUGUCUCAGUUCGGAUCGAAGUCUGCAACUCGACUUCGUGAAGUUGGAUUCGCUAGUAAUCGGAUAUCAGCAAUGAUCCGGUGAAUACGUUCCCGGGCC
Molecule: ribosomal RNA, 1355 nt
Filed under: uncultured soil bacterium
Lineage: Bacteria
Description: bacterial SSU rRNA
Rfam family: Bacterial small subunit ribosomal RNA
Source: RNAcentral